UACGUAGGUGGCAAGCGUUGUCCGGAAUUAUUGGGCGUAAAGCGCGCGCAGGCGGUCCUUUAAGUCUGAUGCGAAAGCCCACGGCUCAACCGUGGAGGGUCAUUGGAAACUGGGGGACUUGAGUGCAGAAGAGGAAAGCGGAAUUCCACGUGUAGCGGUGAAAUGCGUAGAGAUGUGGAAGAACACCAGUGGCGAAGGCGGCUUUCUGGUCUGUAACUGACGCUGAGGCGCGAAAGCUAGGGGAGCAAACAGG
RNAcentral lists this ribosomal RNA (253 nucleotides) under uncultured bacterium. Its description in RNAcentral is "partial 16S ribosomal RNA". It matches the Rfam family "Bacterial small subunit ribosomal RNA", at positions 524 to 776 of the family's 1533-position model. The record is from RNAcentral.